This 690-nucleotide ribosomal RNA is filed under the name uncultured bacterium. RNAcentral describes it as "bacterial SSU rRNA". It matches the Rfam family "Bacterial small subunit ribosomal RNA", at positions 62 to 731 of the family's 1533-position model. The record is from RNAcentral.
UCGAACGCGAAAGCCCCGCAAGGGGUAAGUAGAGUGGCAAACGGGUGAGUAACACGUAGGUGACCUGCCUCAGAGUGGGGGAUAACGACCCGAAAGGGUCGCUAAUACCGCAUAACAUCCUGCCUUUGGAAAGGUGGAGAUCAAAGCCGGGGAUCGCAAGACCUGGCGCUUGGAGAGGGGCCUGCGGCCGAUUAGCUAGUUGGUAGGGUAAUGGCCUACCAAGGCAACGAUCGGUAUCCGGCCUGAGAGGGCGGACGGACACACUGGGACUGAGACACGGCCCAGACUCCUACGGGAGGCAGCAGUGGGGAAUUGUUCGCAAUGGGCGCAAGCCUGACGACGCAACGCCGCGUGGAGGAUGAAGAUCUUCGGGUCGUAAACUCCUUUCGAUCGGGAAGAACGUUUUCGGGGUGAACAACCUCGAGAAGUGACGGUACCGAGAGAAGAAGCCCCGGCUAACUCUGUGCCAGCAGCCGCGGUAAUACAGGGGGGGCAAGCGUUGUUCGGAAUUACUGGGCGUAAAGGGCCAGUAGGCGGCCGACUAAGUCCGACGUGAAAUCCCCAGGCUUAACCUGGGAACUGCGUCGGAUACUGGUUGGCUUGAAUUCGGGAGAGGGAUGCAGAAUUCCAGGUGUAGCGGUGAAAUGCGUAGAUAUCUGGAGGAAUACCGGUGGCGAAGGCGGCAUCCUG